UGCAAGUCGAGCGAGAAAGGGGCUUCGGCUCCGAGUAAAGCGGCGGACGGGUGCGUAACACGUGGAUAAUCUGCCUCGUGGCGGGGGACAACAGUCCGAAAGGACUGCUAAUACCGCAUGUCAGGUCGGAAACUCCGGUUUCUGACGAAAAAGAGGGCGUCCGCAAGGAGCUCUCACCACGAGAUGAGUCCGCGUCCCAUCAGCUAGUUGGCGGUGUAAUGGACCACCAAGGCUUAGACGGGUAGCUGGUCUGAGAGGAUGACCAGCCACACUGGGACUGAGACACGGCCCAGACUCCUACGGGAGGCAGCAGUGGGGAAUAUUGGACAAUGGGCGAAAGCCUGAUCCAGCCAUGCCGCGUGAGUGAUGAAGGCCUUCGGGUCGUAAAGCUCUGUGGGGAGGGACGAAAAAGCGUGACCUAAUACGUCUCGCCUUGACGGUACCUCCUUAGCAAGCACCGGCUAACUCCGUGCCAGCAGCCGCGGUAAUACGGAGGGUGCAAACGUUGCUCGGAAUUAUUGGGCG
RNAcentral lists this ribosomal RNA (525 nucleotides) under uncultured bacterium. RNAcentral describes it as "bacterial SSU rRNA". It matches the Rfam family "Bacterial small subunit ribosomal RNA", at positions 56 to 560 of the family's 1533-position model. The record is from RNAcentral.